UACAGAGGGGGCAAGCGUUAUUCGGAAUUAUUGGGCGUAAAGGGCGCGUAGGCGGCUUUGCAAGUGGCGGGUGAAAUCCCUCGGCUUAACCGAGGAACUGCCUGCCAGACUGUGAGGCUUGAAACCGGGAGAGGUGAGUGGAAUUCCCAGUGUAGCGGUGAAAUGCGUAGAUAUUGGGAGGAACACCGGUGGCGAAGGCGGGUCUCUGGGCCGAUACUGACGCUGAGGAGCGAAAGCGUGGGGAGCAAACAGG
RNAcentral lists this ribosomal RNA (253 nucleotides) under uncultured bacterium. Its description in RNAcentral is "partial 16S ribosomal RNA". It matches the Rfam family "Bacterial small subunit ribosomal RNA", at positions 524 to 776 of the family's 1533-position model. The record is from RNAcentral.